CUGGCGAGGAUUUUGAGAACGGAGUGUAGCACGCGAGGGGAUCUCGAUUCAGAAAGCCGUGUUUAUGAAAACAUCUCCGGAGACAAUUACGCCAGUGCCGCUUGAUAGGACAGCGGAGCCACCCGCCUUUCAUCUCCUCUAAGACGACCAGUAUCGUCUAAAGAUACAUGUUUCACAUUGUUUUCAUGUUUCACUGGACUUUAUUAAGGGAAUGAGCAGAGAUAAAACAAGGAUUGGAAGAUUCUGUGGUUUUGGUGAUGGACUUCCCGGUGGCCGAUAACGGAGAAACUUCACAUUGAUUGGCGCAGCACGCCAGAGGACGUCGCGACAAUUUCGUCUCCGCAAAUUUUUGAGACAUCCCUGACACAAACAUUACCGUACAGUAUACGCCUGUCGAGGAAUAUUUGCAUCUUUUUGCUCAUAUUGUUUUUCUAUCGUUUUUGACUUUAUAUAUAUAUUUUGAGGGUGAGACGGAGACUGUAUGUGACAAUUGGGAUAACUGGAGUGUAGAUUGGCACCAACGCCAGGAUUGUCCCAAAACGUCGGUCAAGAGAGUCAAGGACCGACGGCCAGUCAUUGUCAUGGCGAAAUUAAAGCCCACCCUUGUGAUCGCAGCGUUGAUACUCUGCUUAGCGAUGGCCGCUUACGCAAAGAAGAACAGAAAAAAUAAAUAUUCAGUCCAUCGUCUUUACGACCAUUGCGGAACAAUCUGUUUGCAACUCUACUUCAGGUGUCGCAGUGGACAGUGUAAAAAUCUUUCAGAGGACCGGUGUACGUCGAAAUGUUACAAGAAAUUCAAAAGAUGUCCUAAAAAACUUUGCAAGCAGGGCAAAAAUAAGUUGAGUAAUAAGCUGAAGUCGCGGUCCACGUCGCGAAAACGCGGGAAGAAAUCGAAAAAGAAGUCAAACAAGAAAUCAUUGAACAAUGCCCAUGGAGCGGGAGGUGGCACGAAGGAGUAAAACUUCGGAGAAGACUCGGUCUUCGAUUAGGAGAUGCAGGACUAAGUCUUCAAGCUUUGGCUUCGAGAUAUUUAGAUGACAUUGAUUGAUUGAAGUAGAGAAGUCGAAUGAUGGGUAACCUGCGAAGGAAAGGCUAUCGCGGAAUUUUUUCUCGACGGUUUAUUAUAUAACGACGCAACGACAAUCGUUCCAAGGAGGACAGAAUGGUGCAAUGAGGAUGCAAUGUACUACACCAUUAUAUAUUUCGAAUGCAUUAACUGCACAACUGAUGUUCCGGACUGUAAAUACAAUAAUUUCUUAAUGUUUUACAAUAUCAUAUUGUCAGAAUGACUCUUUUUAUGCUUUGAAAAUGCUCUAGAGUAAAUUGCUUUAUUGUCUUAGAAUGACAAAAAAGCUGCCUUUAAGUCAGGUCAAGUCAAGUCCUCAAGUUGUGGCUAGUUGGCCAUAUAUCUGGGCUGACGGACAAAAUCUGGCGGAUUUGUGACCUUUCUUGUAAAACGAUUGAAUGCUGUAGUCGGGGUAAAGGCCGGGAAGUAACUUAGUUCGAACAGAUGUCCUAGAGAGGCGAAAUCGUCUUCUUUUCAUCGCAUUGUCGCCAUGGGCCAAGACGCUGGAGGACUGGUGGCUAUAGUUGGGAACGCGCGGUGUUUUACUGAUGAUGUCUUUUAAAUCUAAAAUACCUGACCCGUUAGAAUAAUUUGAAUGGUAUCCCCAAUGGCCAUGGUUUUUAUGAGAUGAAAGAGACCGACACGGCAGCCAAGGGCAGGAUUCAGCUUCGAGACAAUUUUGCCAUGGGCGGGAACAUACGUGAUCGUGUUCGGCCAAAUAUUCCACCGAGUAAGGAUGCUGGAUAUCAUCAGAAUUAUUUGAACAUUCAGCACACUUGUUUAUGACAAUGGCCAAGGUUCGAGGUUUUACGGUAAAUGCUGAUGUUAUUGAGUGUGGGGCCUAUACCCAAUGGGUCUUGCACGAUCAAAGACACCGACGGCCAAGGGCCCGUCGCAACUCCUCCGGCUUAUUGUGACUAUUUUGCAACGGACAUUGGGACAAUAAUACGUGAUCAUUUCUUGGAGUCAAUAUGUGGGAAGUAAUGAGAAUUAUUUUAAGCAGUUCGUCGAAUCCGUUGAGGCGGUCCCCGUGGUCGUUGGUGACAGUCGAAAUGGCGGUGAUGCUGCAUGUGGGAUUUGAGAUGAAAGUAUCUAUUAGUAUUGUAUCAUGCAUGAUUGGGAUACGAUGGGAAAGCUCGGACGGUCAGUUUAUCAAACUUUACGAGAGGUUAUACGCCGGGUGGGUUUUUGCUUUUCUCCUACUAUAUUUUUCGGGAGGCACGCCAGGGCGUAUGCAUAUGUUAGUGAUAGAAAAAAAACUAAUUUAUGUGAAA
This is a long non-coding RNA of Lineus longissimus, 2340 nucleotides long. RefSeq lists it as uncharacterized. Lineage: Eukaryota; Metazoa; Nemertea; Pilidiophora; Heteronemertea; Lineidae. The transcript has 2 exons. The record is from RefSeq and is a predicted model, not a curated record.